RNAcentral lists this ribosomal RNA (2918 nucleotides) under Pseudomonas rhizosphaerae. RNAcentral's name for it is "bacterial LSU rRNA". It matches the Rfam family "Bacterial large subunit ribosomal RNA". Lineage: Bacteria; Pseudomonadati; Pseudomonadota; Gammaproteobacteria; Pseudomonadales; Pseudomonadaceae. The record is from RNAcentral.
GUUAUAUGGUCAAGUGAAGAAGCGCAUACGGUGGAUGCCUUGGCAGUCAGAGGCGAUGAAAGACGUGGUAGCCUGCGAAAAGCUUCGGGGAGUCGGCAAACAGACUGUGAUCCGGAGAUGUCCUGAAUGGGGGAACCCAGCUGUCAUAAGACAGUUAUCUCAUGCUGAAUACAUAGGCAUGCGAGGCGAACCAGGGGAACUGAAACAUCUAAGUACCCUGAGGAAAAGAAAUCAACCGAGAUUCCCUUAGUAGUGGCGAGCGAACGGGGACCAGCCCUUAAGUUGGUUUGAGAUUAGCGGAACGCUCUGGAAAGUGCGGCCAUAGUGGGUGAUAGCCCUGUACGCGAAAAUCUCUUGUCAAUGAAAUCGAGUAGGACGGGCACGAGAAACCUUGUCUGAAUAUGGGGGGACCAUCCUCCAAGGCUAAAUACUACUGACUGACCGAUAGUGAACUAGUACCGUGAGGGAAAGGCGAAAAGAACCCCGGAGAGGGGAGUGAAAUAGAUCCUGAAACCGUAUGCGUACAAGCAGUGGGAGCAGACUUCGUUCUGUGACUGCGUACCUUUUGUAUAAUGGGUCAGCGACUUAUAUUCAGUGGCGAGCUUAACCGAAUAGGGGAGGCGUAGCGAAAGCGAGUCUUAAUAGGGCGUUUAGUCGCUGGGUAUAGACCCGAAACCGGGCGAUCUAUCCAUGGGCAGGUUGAAGGUUAGGUAACACUGACUGGAGGACCGAACCGACUACCGUUGAAAAGUUAGCGGAUGACCUGUGGAUCGGAGUGAAAGGCUAAUCAAGCUCGGAGAUAGCUGGUUCUCCUCGAAAGCUAUUUAGGUAGCGCCUCAUGUAUCACUGUAGGGGGUAGAGCACUGUUUCGGCUAGGGGGUCAUCCCGACUUACCAAACCGAUGCAAACUCCGAAUACCUACAAGUGCCGAGCAUGGGAGACACACGGCGGGUGCUAACGUCCGUCGUGAAAAGGGAAACAACCCAGACCGUCAGCUAAGGUCCCAAAAUCCUGGUUAAGUGGGAAACGAUGUGGGAAGGCUUAGACAGCUAGGAGGUUGGCUUAGAAGCAGCCACCCUUUAAAGAAAGCGUAAUAGCUCACUAGUCGAGUCGGCCUGCGCGGAAGAUGUAACGGGGCUCAAACCAGGUACCGAAGCUACGGGUAUCACCUUCUGGUGAUGCGGUAGAGGAGCGUUCUGUAAGCCUGUGAAGGUGAGUUGAGAAGCUUGCUGGAGGUAUCAGAAGUGCGAAUGCUGACAUGAGUAACGACAAUGGGUGUGAAAAACACCCACGCCGAAAGACCAAGGUUUCCUGCGCAACGUUAAUCGACGCAGGGUUAGUCGGUCCCUAAGGCGAGGCUGAAAAGCGUAGUCGAUGGAAAACAGGUUAAUAUUCCUGUACUUCUGGUUAUUGCGAUGGAGGGACGGAGAAGGCUAGGCCAGCUUGGCGUUGGUUGUCCAAGUUUAAGGUGGUAGGCUGAGAUCUUAGGUAAAUCCGGGAUCUUAAGGCCGAGAGCUGAUGACGAGUUGUCUUUUAGACGACGAAGUGGUUGAUGCCAUGCUUCCAAGAAAAGCUUCUAAGCUUCAGGUAACCAGGAACCGUACCCCAAACCGACACAGGUGGUUGGGUAGAGAAUACCAAGGCGCUUGAGAGAACUCGGGUGAAGGAACUAGGCAAAAUGGCACCGUAACUUCGGGAGAAGGUGCGCCGGUGAGGGUGAAGGACUUGCUCCGUAAGCUCAUGCCGGUCGAAGAUACCAGGCCGCUGCGACUGUUUAUUAAAAACACAGCACUCUGCAAACACGAAAGUGGACGUAUAGGGUGUGACGCCUGCCCGGUGCCGGAAGGUUAAUUGAUGGGGUUAGCGCAAGCGAAGCUCUUGAUCGAAGCCCCGGUAAACGGCGGCCGUAACUAUAACGGUCCUAAGGUAGCGAAAUUCCUUGUCGGGUAAGUUCCGACCUGCACGAAUGGCGUAACGAUGGCGGCGCUGUCUCCACCCGAGACUCAGUGAAAUUGAAAUCGCUGUGAAGAUGCAGUGUAUCCGCGGCUAGACGGAAAGACCCCGUGAACCUUUACUAUAGCUUUGCACUGGACUUUGAAUUUGCUUGUGUAGGAUAGGUGGGAGGCUUUGAAGCGUGGACGCCAGUCUGCGUGGAGCCAACCUUGAAAUACCACCCUGGCAACUUUGAGGUUCUAACUCAGGUCCGUUAUCCGGAUCGAGGACAGUGUAUGGUGGGUAGUUUGACUGGGGCGGUCUCCUCCUAAAGAGUAACGGAGGAGUACGAAGGUGCGCUCAGACCGGUCGGAAAUCGGUCGUAGAGUAUAAAGGCAAAAGCGCGCUUGACUGCGAGACAGACACGUCGAGCAGGUACGAAAGUAGGUCUUAGUGAUCCGGUGGUUCUGUAUGGAAGGGCCAUCGCUCAACGGAUAAAAGGUACUCCGGGGAUAACAGGCUGAUACCGCCCAAGAGUUCAUAUCGACGGCGGUGUUUGGCACCUCGAUGUCGGCUCAUCACAUCCUGGGGCUGAAGCCGGUCCCAAGGGUAUGGCUGUUCGCCAUUUAAAGUGGUACGCGAGCUGGGUUUAGAACGUCGUGAGACAGUUCGGUCCCUAUCUGCCGUGGACGUUUGAGAUUUGAGAGGGGCUGCUCCUAGUACGAGAGGACCGGAGUGGACGAACCUCUGGUGUUCCGGUUGUCACGCCAGUGGCAUUGCCGGGUAGCUAUGUUCGGAAAAGAUAACCGCUGAAAGCAUCUAAGCGGGAAACUUGCCUCAAGAUGAGAUCUCACUGGAACCUUGAGUUCCCUGAAGGGCCGUCGAAGACUACGACGUUGAUAGGUGGGGUGUGUAAGCGCUGUGAGGCGUUGAGCUAACCCAUACUAAUUGCCCGUGAGGCUUGACCAUAUAACACCCAAGCAAUU